RNAcentral lists this ribosomal RNA (433 nucleotides) under uncultured bacterium. RNAcentral describes it as "partial 16S ribosomal RNA". It matches the Rfam family "Bacterial small subunit ribosomal RNA", at positions 29 to 507 of the family's 1533-position model. The record is from RNAcentral.
AACGAACGCUGGCGGCAUGCCUAACACAUGCAAGUCGAACGAGACCUUCGGGUCUAGUGGCGCACGGGUGCGUAACGCGUGGGAACCUGCCCUUAGGUUCGGAAUAACUCCCCGAAAGGGGUGCUAAUACCGGAUAAUGUCUUCGGACCAAAGAUUUAUCGCCUUUGGAUGGGCCCGCGUUGGAUUAGCUAGUUGGUAGGGUAAAAGCCUACCAAGGCGACGAUCCAUAGCUGGUCUGAGAGGAUGAUCAGCCACACUGGGACUGAGACACGGCCCAGGCAUCUACGGGAGGGAGCGGUAGGGAAUAUUAGACAAUGGGCGAAAGCCUAGUCCAGCAAUGCCGCGUGAAUGAUGAAAGGCUUAGGGUUGGAACAGUCUUUUACCCGGGAUGUUUAUUGACGUUACGGGAGAAUAAGCUCCGGCUAACUCCGUG